GGCGGGCCGCCCCGCAUUGGGAGUCGGCAUAACUGGUCAGGUCGGGAACGAAGCAGCCAAGGCUGAAUUUCUCAAGUGCCGGGGGUCCGGCUCGCCCCC
RNAcentral lists this signal recognition particle RNA (99 nucleotides) under Betaproteobacteria bacterium. Its description in RNAcentral is "signal recognition particle sRNA small type". It matches the Rfam family "Bacterial small signal recognition particle RNA". Rfam says of the family: The signal recognition particle (SRP) is a universally conserved ribonucleoprotein involved in the co-translational targeting of proteins to membranes. Archaeal SRP consists of a 7S RNA and homologues of the eukaryotic SRP19 and SRP54 proteins. The record is from RNAcentral. Lineage: Bacteria; Pseudomonadati; Pseudomonadota; Betaproteobacteria.